Molecule: long non-coding RNA, 1675 nt
Filed under: Equus asinus (donkey)
Lineage: Eukaryota; Metazoa; Chordata; Mammalia; Perissodactyla; Equidae
Description: lncRNA (ENSEASG00005032383.1)
Source: RNAcentral
CAAACUUUACUUCAGAAACGGUGUGAAGAUUUUUUAAUCAACAAGGUCUUACAUCACACAGCAGUCUACUUGUAAGGAGGCUUUCCUAUAGAGAUAGAGCUUAUCAACUGGUGAUCUUCACUGUAAGAUGAUUGAGUGAGAACCUGGCUAAUUCAUUGGGGACCCCAAAAUGACAUUAUCUAUGGGUCUUUUCUUUGAGAGCAGUUCCAGUCUCCUCAGAGAUGAAUUCUCCAGUUUCUUGCCUGGAAAAUAUAUACCUGACUGCUGGUGUUCUUGGAACCAAUGUUUUUGGAGUGUAGGAAAAGGGACCUUAUUGUAGACUUUCAUUUAGUGCCCCUAUUUUCAAUAGAAUGCCCAUUCCCUAUUUUUAACUCUAUCUGGGGCAUCUGGGUCUGGGGCUUCUGUGGAUCAAUUUAGUUUGAAUAAACUUCCAAUCUCCUGCCAGAGUAGGGAAAAGGUAUUUUCCUGGCUGAGCAGGUUGAGGGAGGAGAACUAAGAGUGGUCUAGCUGCUUUUCUCGCACACAUGCAACCAAAUCCUCUGCUUUUGGCCUCUUGACACACCCCUGCUUUCUUUGGUCACUGGUGUCUCUAAUUUCUGAGCUUCCCAGGCAUUCCACAGCAUGAAUUGUCUUGCUUCUCAUUUUGCAGCCCCCACUCUGCAGACAUUUGCUCUUCAGUCCCUUCAGCUCUGCUAACCUGCAUCUACUUUCUAUCUUCCAAAAACGUCUUGGCAUAUCUAGUCUUCUGCUGCCUUCAUUACCGUUCUCUCUGUCUUUGUGGGAUUUUACCCCUUAAAAAACUAAUUUCUCUUCAUUUUAGCAUAGUUUUAGAAGAGAUAAUAGAUAAACAUGUAUUUAAUGUCAUAUUUAAUUGGAAGUCCUCCAAUUGUAUUUAUUAAAAUGAAAAAUUCACAUGCUCCUUGACUUGGAAAUCUCACUUAUGAUAAUUUAACUGUCAGAAAUAAAAGUGCCAGUAUUGUAUAGGUAAGUUUACAAGAGUGUUUACUGCAAUAGUAAUAGCAACAAUCAGAGUGUCCGCUGAUAAGGAACAGUUAUGUAAAUUAUGGUGUAUUUAUACUAUGGACUACUCUCCAAUCAUUAAAAGGAAUAAGGCAUAUUGACUUGGAAAGCCAUCCAUGAUAUAUUGCUGAGUAAAAGAGAAGGCUAUAGUAACCCCAUGUUUGUGAAAGAAAGUGAACUAGUAUUAUAUGUUUAUAUGUUUGUAUACAUAAAGAAUAAAGUGUGUAAGGAGUCAUACUAGAUUUUUAACAGUGAUUACAUUGGGGGAUGGCUUUGGAUGGGGAGUGGAAGAAUAUAUCAAUUUAACUUUAGAAACUUUUUUAUUGUCUUUGAAGUGUUUCAGUUAACCUGUGUUGCUUUUGUUAUUCAAACGCCAAAAUAAACAUGCUUAAAAAAAGUUGUAGAUGCAAGAAUGUUCACUGCAGCAUUAUUUAUGAUGGUGAAAAAUUGGAAAAUAAUAUAAAUGUCUGACAAUAAAGACUGGUUAAUACAUUUGAAAUAUCUAUAUGGCAGAAUAUUAGGAGCCUAUUAUAAUGAUCUUUUAGACAAAUUUUAAUGUUGUGGUAAAAUGGUCAUGAAUAAUGCAAGGUGAGAAAAGUAGAAUACGAAAUCGUAUAUACUUUGUAAUUCCAAUGUUGUAAUUAAAAUGUAAUGC